Molecule: ribosomal RNA, 254 nt
Filed under: uncultured bacterium
Lineage: Bacteria
Description: partial 16S ribosomal RNA
Rfam family: Bacterial small subunit ribosomal RNA
Source: RNAcentral
UACGUAGGGGGCAAGCGUUGUCCGGAUUCAUUGGGCGUAAAGAGCGUGUAGGCGGCCUGGAAGGUCAGCUGUGAAAACUCGAGGCUCAACCUCGAGACGUCGGUUGAAACCACCUGGCUAGAGUCCGGAAGAGGAGAGUGGAAUUCCCGGUGUAGCGGUGAAAUGCGCAGAUAUCGGGAAGAACACCAGUGGCGAAGGCGGCGACCUGGACGGACACUGACGCUGAGACGCGAAAGCGUGGGGAGCAAACAGGG